Molecule: ribosomal RNA, 253 nt
Filed under: uncultured bacterium
Lineage: Bacteria
Description: partial 16S ribosomal RNA
Rfam family: Bacterial small subunit ribosomal RNA
Source: RNAcentral
UACGGGGGGGGCAAGCGUUGUUCGGAAUUACUGGGCGUAAAGGGCUCGUAGGUGGCCAACUAAGUCAGACGUGAAAUCCCUCGGCUUAACCGGGGAACUGCGUCUGAUACUGGAUGGCUUGAGUUUGGGAGAGGGAUGCGGAAUUCCAGGUGUAGCGGUGAAAUGCGUAGAUAUCUGGAGGAACACCGGUGGCGAAGGCGGCUUUCUGGUCUGUAACUGACGCUGAGGCGCGAAAGCGUGGGGAGCAAACAGG